Cyprinus carpio (common carp) is the source of this 1580-nucleotide long non-coding RNA. Lineage: Eukaryota; Metazoa; Chordata; Actinopteri; Cypriniformes; Cyprinidae. The record is from Ensembl.
UGAAAAUUUAUAUUUAAAUCUUUCUGUUAUGAAUGCCGCUCUGUUGUUGUUCAACAAGCAUAUGAAUUAAAAAAAAGAAUGCCCCUGCCUGCUCUAUAUAAAUAGCUGACAGUCACAUUUUCAGUAAACCCCCAACAGGGUUUCAAGGCAAGCUGAGAGAGAGAGAGAAAAAAAGGUAGCAACCAGAGAUGUGGGCUGUUACUAACCUGCUGCACUUUAGCAGAUUACGUGUAUUUUUCCAAGUAAAAACCAAAUGGUAACCAAAGGUUAACAUAUUCCACAGUGUGUUAUAUCUCAACUGCAUCAUACUGUCAUCUGACCCAUAUACCUCAAUAAAUAUAGUUAUCCAAAAGAACAUUCCCUCCAAUUCUAAAGCCAUGGCAAAACAUAUAUGGGGAAAGUUUGGCCCAUACUGUGUGUGCUCAGCCAUGGCAGCUAUCUGGCACAUUUGGCCCAAAAGUUUGUGCUAUCUGGAGAGUACUGUGUGGUUAAACUAAAAACUAGCACACUUUGGUUCUCUUUCACCACACCCUAGUACUCUUCACACUGUUCACCAUAAAAGACCAAGGUACUGAGAAAAGACUCAUCUGAAAAACAAAGAGGCAUAUCUCUCUAAAAGAAGGGUGGAAGUGACCAGGCAUGGACCUGGAAUUAUCACCACUAAAUCCUCAGGACAGCAAUGAUAGAAAUCCUCAUGCAGUCCAACCUUGUACUGACCAGCCUGUGGUCAUUGUCCAACCCUCUGAGUGCAUGAGCCAUGAGCCACCAGCUGAGCCUGUGCCAGAUUACAUGUGCUACUCUAAAUUUGGCUUGUUAAUGUGUGUCUGUCUGGGAUGUGCUGCUCUUUAUUUCUCCAAAGCUACUCGCACAGCUAACGGCAAUGGACAGAGAAGAGAAGCAGCAAGAAACUCUCAAAUUGCACUCAUCCUGAACCAUCUCGCCAUUGUUGUGGGAAUCAUCAUAGCUGCAGGAUACUUCCUCAACAAUUUUUACCUAUAAGAGCCAACACUUUAUCCAUAAUUACCCUUAUACACUGGAGGAACCUUAUCAUAGUUCCUAUGAAUUAUGUUCCUAGAGUGGAAGUACCCACUUUUUAGUGUUCACAUCGCAGGAACUAGGAACAUAUUUGGAUAUAGGAACUCCGUUUUGGGGAACUUAUUCGCUCCUACUUCAGAGUAGCGUCUAAAACAGUUCUAUAGGAACUACCAGUGAUGUACUGUAAGUGUACGCUGAGUGGCCACAAGCAUACGAAACACUGUCUACUUGGCAUAUAUAAAAAGCCAUGUAAACACUCCACGAACAUGGGAAACAGCAGAAACAGCUUUUAGCUAACACCUAAUGUCUGCAGCAUUGUGUUCCUUUCUUAGCUUUGAUGAUAUGUAACACUGCAAGUUGCCAUAGGAGAUUUAGCCAGAUUUUCAUGCUCUUUCAAUCGCGUAAAUUAUGCUUUUACAUUCUGUCUCCAUUAUCAUGAAACCCACGACACACAACAAAAACAGCUCCGAUCACAGCGCCCUCCAUUCACUGGUUGUUGACAUUUGUAAAUGCCUUGAAUAAAGACGUAGUUGUUGGUCGCUUCA